CCAGCUCCCACUCACGAGUGCGGCCCAACAAUCACCUUAUGAACAUAACAAGAGAUACCUUUGUUGCUCUCAUCAUUGAAAAUUUCUCAAGGAUUAUAGGAGCUCUGUGCCGGAAACGGGGAUGAAGAGUAAAUAGAUAUUCCUUAUUCUACGUCACAACAUCGCUGUGACGGGAUCUCUUUUGUUACCAGGGGAAGCCCCGACUGGUCUAAGGAAGGCAGGAGCACAAAGAACUGAGGCCAGCCAUUCCAGCUGAGGACCACUAGAUCAACCUGCUGUGAGCUGACAGAGACCACCAAAGUCCCUCCAAGUGAGUCCGGUACAAGGUGAGAAACACCUGAUUGAGCCCAGCCUCCACCUACACAGCCUACACGGAAAACCUACAGAAUUAUGUGUAACUAAAAUAAGCAUGGUUUAAAGUCAUUGAAAUUUGGGGUGGUUUUUCCCAGAGCAACCGAUAACUGAAAUAUAUGCACACCAAUUGCUGGUUGCAACUCUUCCACUGGCCUACUGGAACCCCGAGGAAGUCACCUGGAAGUAUGUCUCCCAGUUUUCUCGGCUGUAAAAUAAAGUAGCCGAGCAGACAGCUGGGAGAGGCCACACACGUGUCUAGUUUUCUUCCAACUCUGAUACGCUAUGAUGACAUGAAAGGAAGUUUGACUUUUUUUUUCUCAGUUGUUUACCCUGUAAAGUUUUUCAAAGAUCUCUUUUUCCUUUCCGAAGAAUCUUGGACGACUGUUUCUAAAUAUCUCAUUAGGAUAGCGGACAUCUCCUGUCAAUGAACUGACCAAGAAGUUCAAAGAACUCUCAGAGCCGAAAGCCACGUCAAGACUAACGGUAUCUGCUCUGGUGUUGACAUCACUGUGGCCGACUGCAUGGAAGGGCUAGCUUUGAAAACCUGAAUGAUUUUGCCUUGAAUACCAGCCUGGUGGUUCUGUGAUUCUGAGAAAGUCACUCAAUAUGUGGUUGUUGGCCAGAAGAUGCAUAUAAACGUAUAAGGGUAUCUUCCUCUGAGUUGGCAUUCAGGGAAAGACAAAUAACGAUGGUGAGACAUCAUCCCUCGGCCAUUCACAUAGUAAAAGUUGAGAAGUGGAAAAUCCCUUGGUCAGGAGGUUGCGUAUCCAGAGAGUGUCUAAAAAAUACUAAAAAGUCUGGAAAUAUCUCAAAUUCUCAUCGACACAAGAAUGGAUACAUGACAUAAUGUAUAGUCAAGAUAGUGUUAAAACUUGAAAUUAACAAGCCGCAGCUCCAUCGAUAGUGUGAACAAAACAUAGAUGCAUAGCUUUCAAUCAAAAGGUGGAUCCCAAACAGACAGCAUUAAGGCCUUUUCAAAAUAAUGAUGGACAAACAGCCCAAUGCUAAGCGUACUUUGUUUUGGAAUACAUAUAGAUGCCGAAAAAGGCGAAGCAAGGGAAUCGUGUGCACGUAAUUUGGAAUAGUGGUUCUGCUGGAUGGGGGCAGGAGGCACAGAGGAUGAAGAAACGUCACAUAGAGGCAUCUACAUUUUUACCUUGGUAUUAAGUUGGGCAUAAAGCUUUUAAUGGUGUUUACUAUUCACAGAGAAUGAAGAAAAAAAGACCUUGACUGGACCCGUAAAGGGAGUGUCAUAUAUCAAGGAUUAUAACUAAUUCAUUUUUGUGCACUUGACCUUGAACCCGUGAGAAAAACAUGUUAAGGACAUGAAACUCUGUAGUCUCCUAGUGUUAAGUGUAAAAAACGCACCAAACUAUAUAUUCAACGGGACUCCAAGGACCUAUCAUGGUAAACAACAGCAGGGGGAGAGGAGCAAAUGUGAGCCUCUAGAUCAUUUCCCCAUUUGCUCUCAGACACUAUCUGAAAUCUUCUGAUAAAUAAAAUGGCUUCUAGAUGAAUGAG
Molecule: long non-coding RNA, 1875 nt
Organism: Felis catus (domestic cat)
Lineage: Eukaryota; Metazoa; Chordata; Mammalia; Carnivora; Felidae
Exons: 2
Source: RefSeq, a predicted model, not a curated record